CAAAUUCCAACAACUUCCUCUUGAUAUUUUCUUUACUUUCUUUAAUGAUUCUCUAACACAAGAAUAUUUUAAACUCCGAAAAAAAAAUCAAAAAAUCCCCCCCUCUACAAAUGAACAAAGAUAUAAUUAUAUAGGGGAAGUUUAGGGUAGAUUUUUGGGGGGAAUUCGGGUGAAAUUUUUACCAUUCAAAAUUCAAAAUCCAAAAAUUCUUUCACCAAAUCGGAACGACACACUUUUCCUCUGAGAUUUCAACCCAUUCCGUAAGAGGAAAGGGCAGAAACGCAUGCUUGCUCUUCUCUGCUCGGGUUGUACGACGGAGAGGGAGGUGAGGAGGACGGACACACGCGAAGUUACUGGAUCGAUUUGAUGGGCUGUCGGGUCGCGGUGGGUUGUUGUUGUUCCUUUUUGGGCUGCUGGCCGUUUCUGUGAAGAAGAAGAAUAGUGCAAAUGGGGGGUCGAUUUGGUGUAUGUUGU
This 474-nucleotide long non-coding RNA is filed under the name Solanum tuberosum (potato). Its description in RNAcentral is "long non-coding RNA (STUB_LNC009260)". Lineage: Eukaryota; Viridiplantae; Streptophyta; Magnoliopsida; Solanales; Solanaceae. The record is from RNAcentral.